This 120-nucleotide ribosomal RNA is filed under the name uncultured bacterium. Its description in RNAcentral is "partial 16S ribosomal RNA". It matches the Rfam family "Bacterial small subunit ribosomal RNA", at positions 28 to 148 of the family's 1533-position model. The record is from RNAcentral.
GAUGAACGCUAGCGGCAGGCCUAAUACAUGCAAGUCGAACGGGUUUGAGUAGCAAUACUCAAAUCAGUGGCGCACGGGUGCGUAACGCGUAUGCAACCUACCUUAAACUGGGGGAUAGCC